This 505-nucleotide ribosomal RNA is filed under the name uncultured bacterium. RNAcentral describes it as "bacterial SSU rRNA". It matches the Rfam family "Bacterial small subunit ribosomal RNA", at positions 21 to 518 of the family's 1533-position model. The record is from RNAcentral.
GGCUCAGGAUGAACGCUAGCGGCAGGCUUAACACAUGCAAGUCGAGGGGCAGCGGGUCCAGCAAUGGAUGCCGGCGACCGGCGCAAGGGUGCGUAACGCGUGGGCGACAUGCCCGUGACUGGGGGAUAACCGAUGGAAACGUCGCCUAAUCCCGCAUAACACUGAUGACUGCAUGGUCGUCAGUUAAAAACUCCGGUGGUCACGGAUUGGCUCGCGUAUCAUUAGCUAGUCGGCGGGGUAACGGCCCACCGAGGCGACGAUGAUUAGGGGUUCUGAGAGGAAGGUCCCCCCACAAUGGAACUGAGACACGGUCCAUACUCCUACGGGAGGCAGCAGUGAGGAAUAUUGGUCAAUGGGCGGAAGCCUGAACCAGCCAUGCCGCGUGCAGGACGACGGCCCCCUAUGGGUUGUAAACUGCUUUUGAGCGGGAGCAAUAAGGAUCUCGAGCAGGUCUGAUGAGAGUACCGUUCGAAUAAGCAUCGGCUAACUCCGUGCCAGCAGCCGC